Astatotilapia calliptera (eastern happy) is the source of this 3652-nucleotide long non-coding RNA. The record is from Ensembl. NCBI's taxonomy places the organism in Eukaryota, Metazoa, Chordata, Actinopteri, Cichliformes, Cichlidae.
CUUUCCUUCCUGUGCUGAAAAUUCCUACUGGGCAAUAUGAACUGUCAAUAGAAAAUCUUCUUCUGCACAUCACUUGUGAAAUAUAUGAACUUCUAAUCUUCUCUUCUGAAAAUUAAGUGAAGACAAGGACACAGAGAGUGUGUGGAGCCUCACCAAGCUUUAUUUACAUGCGCACUAUUUCUUAUACAAACUUCAAAAUUCAAAAUGUAAUACACAGGAAAAUACCCACUAACAUUAAGUUGAGAAUAAGCAAGAUUAAUAAAGAGCAAAAGUUCAAAGGGAAAAGUUCAGAGUGUGUAUGAAAGGGAGCUGGCCUGGGCUUCUUAACAAGGAUGGAAGGACUCAUAAGAAGAUAAUAUAAAGAAAAUGUCCAAGAGGUGAUUAAGGUUUCUAGUGGUAUGUGUCUAUUUUUGCUUUUCUCAGCUUUAAACCAGCAUAUUUUGUUCUGCGCGUGUGUGUCGAGCAUGAGAGGAGGUCAUCUGUGCCUGAAUGAAGCAGUGGUUUUGUGAAAGGCCUGCUCAGCUAUGACUACGAGAAAACUACCCUCCCAAAGAGUCGAUGCAUUUUUACACAGAGCCGAGUGCACAUAAUGUUAGGAACGCCUUUUAGAUUUGAUAUUUCCCAAAUUGAUAAGAGCUCUUUUCAAAGAUGACUGCGUUCCCCGGAUUUCACUUUGCCUGUCGUCUUCACAGGAGUAAGUAAUUUUAAGUACAGACAGUGUAGAUGAAUUCAAAUGCUUAACAGUUCAGGUGAUGGCUCAGGAGUCCCCCUGACAACAGAAAAGACAGAUAGUGUUCUGGAAAUUUUAGAUGUAGCAAGGUGUUGGUAAUUCCAGCUUGCUGACAUUUUCACUACGUCAGUGUAAUGGGUUUGUAAUAAUAAUAAUAAUAAUAUCGGAGGAUGGUGCAAGUGCUCCUCUUUAAGCCCUGAUUAUUACUUUUUUAUUUUUUUAUUUUUUAAAAAGGAACAGAGUGUUUUAGCACUAAAAACACAGUGUUCCUCUCAGGUUGAGAAAGGUCCAGCUAGCUCAUGCGCUAAACCUCAGUUAGUACAACAGACCAUUCUAGCCAACCAUGCACACCCACUCCUCCUUCCUUCCUUAGCUUCAAAGAGAUAUACACGAAUCUGUACACUGAUAUACAUGACAGGGAAUACACUUCAUGUCACUGCCCCCAAAUGGAGAAGGGGUCUCCAGAUGCUACAACAAUGGUGCCUUCCACCAUUUCCAAAAUCUGGUUCAACAAUUAAAAUUGCUGGUAACAGUUUUCCCUCCCUACCCGGCGCAUGAUGUAUUUGCUAUUUCUUCAAAUUCAGAGGUAUGACAAACCCCAAGGGUCAAGUACUACAUGAGCAUAUAAGGACAUACAGCGAGUAAAUAUGCAUUUCACACGGUUCAUAAUGCAUAAAUACAUACAUGCAUACAGUCGGCUGUUCUGUAUGCACCGCGAGGAGCUACAAACCCUCGUGAGAUUAAUUCAGUUGAAAUAAAACUCCAUCAAUAAACACGUACACACGUUAACAUGUAUUUAGGAGAUACAGGAAGUCACCUGCAGGAGCACCAGGCGUGUCCACGAGGGGAUCUGUGUGUGUGUGUGUGUGUGUGUCAAGAGUCAAACAAGAGGAGAAAAAAGCUAUGACAACAAAACCAAAAAACAACAGACUGUGUGAAGUAAUAAUCCUGACAUUUAUCGUCCUUCUAAUUCUUCAUCCUGGUGGCCAAAAGUUCACAGGUUACAAGUUCAGAAACACAAAGAAAAUAUGUUUUCCCCCCCAAGAAACGUUAAAAUACUACUUGACUGUGGCUUGACGUUUCUUAAAUGGAAAGCCUUCCUUCCUCACCCCCUGAGUGAUUCUGUAUAUGCAUAACAAGCCCCACAAUCUCACGACAAGAAACCAGCAGAGCUUAACAUGGAUCCCUGCUAUUUUUUGCUUUUUUUUUUUUUUCCCCGUGUGUGUGUGUGUGUGUAUUUUAAGUGUGUGCAUAAAUGUGUGUGCUGUCAUUUGGCUGCCAGCAUAUCCUACUGUUUAUUUCAAGUAAUUUGGCAAUAUACAGAGAUAGCUUAUUGUUUUAAUCAAGAAACAAAUGGCUUCUAGAGGAAUGAGCCUAUAAAAGAAAAAAAAAAAGACAACAACCUUCUCCCUUUGCUCAAACUUAUCAUGCUACAAGUGGCCGCAGCUCUAGGCUUCUGUGGGUUUUGGGUAAAAACAGGAAAAAAAAAAAGAACAGAAAAUAUGCACAGCUUCCUCGCAGGACAGGAUUCAACACUGUUUAUAUAGCACCUGUUGUGGUGUGGAAAUGUUCACAACCCUAGGACACAGGUUUUUGUUUUGGCUACAUCGAAUGCUGUGAUAAAUGACCUCAACAGAACUCACCAGAAGUUAGGAAAGCAAUGAGAAGACAUACAAGAUCUUUUCCCUCUUGAAUUUUUACCUGCCCUGCACUAUUCUGUACCAGAAGUUUUCUUCCUCUAGUCUUUUGAUAUAUACAAGGAUAAAACAAAAGCUGUAGCAAUCAUCUAAUCAUAAUAUAACCCUCAGUAUGCUGCUGUUAUUUCAAAGUCAUGCAUCAUAUAAUAUAGAAAACAGCAAGUGCAUUGUGUUAAAUUGAGGAAUUUAAACUUCUGGGGUUUUGGAGAUUUCACAAUCUGGGGCAACGUUUCAGUUUGUCUACACAUGGACUGAAUAAGUGGCCACUCAGUGAGUACGACACUCCCAUUUCCACCUUUUCAUUUCACCAGUACAAUGACUCUUUCUCUACAGACAUUUUUGAUUAAGAAACAAAUAUGAUAAAACAGGAACUCAAAAAACAACAACAACAACAACAUAUGACAUUUAAAAUUACUUAGAACAGUGGGAAUUUCUUUUUCAGUAUUACACGUCUCAGGAAACCACUGGAUCUGAUUUACACCACAACAUGUCUUGUUUUUUUUUUCUCUUUACACUUCAGUGGGAAAAACUGCACCAUGCUCUCCUUCGAUUCUUUGCUUGCCAUUUAGUCCUCAAUUUCCACCUGAAGACCCCUUUUUGAUAAGCAGUGUCUCUUUGAUAUCAGCAGACUGGGCGUCAAAGGAAAAUUGCAUAAUUCUAAGAUUUGUGAGUUUCUUGUGAUUGUUAGAUGUAGCUUUCGUUUUUGCUGUUGUUGUUUCACAAGAAGCUUUGAGGGCUCAUGCGCAGCAUCUCUCGAGUCUGCAGGAUCGUUCAUGGUUCACCAGUGUGGGAGCGAAGGUAAAGCUCUCAAGAGGAAGUCUUCUUCUGUAAACACAGGGUUGGUUAUUUUACAUUGUGCUGAUGGCAGGUUUGGCAAAAAGGAUGUUGUGUGUCUGAUCUUCUCUUGCACCACACAGGUCAGACCUGGAAUGAAAAAGAUAUGAUUAUCUUUUUGUGUUCGUAAGAAUGAAAAUCUUUUCCCUUCUCAAGGUUUUAAGUCACAUUUUUGAAUAAGUAGAUUGGCAAAUGUCACUGGCUCAUAUUAACAACAAAUUUCUGUUCACUGCUGGUUAUUUGCAGCUGCAAGUUAGGUGCUUAAAGCUACCACUUCUGCAUAUGUUUCAUAAUACAUGCAUUUGAAUAUGAAUUAUUGAAUAUAUGAAUUAUUCCUGAUCAAGUCCUCAUCACAUACUUCCUAGAAACCCAAGAAACCAGUGGUUGACUG